This is a long non-coding RNA of Mya arenaria, 924 nucleotides long. RefSeq lists it as uncharacterized. The record is from RefSeq and is a predicted model, not a curated record. The transcript is spliced from 3 exons. NCBI's taxonomy places the organism in Eukaryota, Metazoa, Mollusca, Bivalvia, Myida, Myidae.
UUGAUUUUUACAGAAGAUUACAUUUGGAGCCAAUUAUCAAUAUAAGUUCUUUUCAAUGGAUUAUUUACCAGUUUAGGUACUUACUUUUGUGUUAAGGCAAUGACUUAUUUGCAUCUAUGAUAACAAUAAAUAUUUGACAUGGAAAGCCAAAAUAUUGAAAGCAAUUGACCUUACGACAGGAUUUGAUUGACAGGUCCUAUCAGCCAAUCAGAAUACAGCGCUGAUAAGCCGUGUUGUUAUCCGCCAUUUUGUCCGUCAAACUGACCAGAGUCCGUCAUAUACAUGCAUUGACAUUUCCUCGCCUUUUUAAGUAUUAUGGUAAAAAGGUGUUGUAAUGACACUUGUAAUUCGGAUACAAGGUAGCCAGAACGGCGUGGAAUUCGUUCCAUUUCCGAAACAAGCGAGAAAAAUGCAAUUGCUGGAUCAGACUCUGUGGAAGACAUCACCAACAGUUGAACUUCGAAAUUUUGAAAGAUCGUUCAAAGGCGAAAGAUCUAUACGUCUGUAAAAAACACUUUGUCGACGGGAAACCCAGUCAAGUAAACCCUGACCCUCAAGCAGCUACUGUACUGUUUGGUGUAUUUGACAAGCUUACACCGGGACCGGCUCACAUCAGCUAGACCUCCUCCAAAAAUCAGAUUAAUAUCUGAACCACCCUAAAAAAAACUAGAACAGAACGGACUGAAGCUAACACCAUAGGUACAUCCUUCCAUGAAUCCAACAACGCAACAUGCUGAACGACUUCAAGGACUCUCUUCAAAAGACCACACUUUCCUGAAAUAAAUAAAAGAUGCCACUAUUAAAAUAAAUCAGUUACAUGUCUUGUUAAAUAUUUUAAUUCUGGCUGUAAAUGCUACUGCAUUUGAUGUUUGCUUUCUACAUGUAUAUAAUAAUGAAAUAUUGACAAGAAAAUAGCUAACUGUA